GGAGUCUGGGCCGUGUCUCAGUCCCAAUGUGGCCGUCCGCCCUCUCAGGCCGGCUACCGAUCGUCGCUUUGGUGGGCCGUUACCCCGCCAACUGGCUAAUCGGACGCGGGUCCAUCUCAUACCACCGGAGUUUUUCACACUGUACCAUGCGGUACUGUGCGCUUAUGCGGUAUUACCAGUCGUUUCCAACUGCUAUCCCCCUGUAUGAGGCAGGUUACCCACGCGUUACUCAUCCGUCCGCCACUAACCUUCCGGAAAAUCAUAGCAAGCUAAUCUUUUCCAUGGGUCCGUUCGACUUGCAUGUGUUAGGCACGCCGCCAGCGUUCAUC
Molecule: ribosomal RNA, 329 nt
Filed under: uncultured Butyrivibrio sp.
Lineage: Bacteria; Bacillati; Bacillota; Clostridia; Lachnospirales; Lachnospiraceae
Description: partial 16S ribosomal RNA
Source: RNAcentral